AUUGAACGCUGGCGGCAUGCUUUACACAUGCAAGUCGAACGGUAACAGGCCUUCGGGUGCUGGCGAGUGGCGAACGGGUGAGUAAUGCAUCGGAACGUACCCAGAGGUGGGGGAUAACGCAGCGAAAGCUGUGCUAAUACCGCAUGUGAUCUGAGGAUGAAAGCGGGGGACCGAGCAGCAAUGUUUGGCCUCGCGCCUUUGGAGCGGCCGAUGUCGGAUUAGCUAGUUGGUGGGGUAAAGGCCUACCAAGGCGACGAUCCGUAGCUGGUCUGAGAGGACGACCAGCCACACUGGGACUGAGACACGGCCCAGACUCCUACGGGAGGCAGCAGUGGGGAAUUUUGGACAAUGGGCGCAAGCCUGAUCCAGCAAUGCCGCGUGCGGGAAGAAGGCCUUCGGGUUGUAAACCGCUUUUGGCAGGAACGAAGCGGUGUCCGCUAAUACCGGGCGCUAAUGACGGUACCUGCAGAAUAAGCACCGGCUAACUACGUG
Molecule: ribosomal RNA, 492 nt
Filed under: uncultured bacterium
Lineage: Bacteria
Description: partial 16S ribosomal RNA
Rfam family: Bacterial small subunit ribosomal RNA
Source: RNAcentral